AGUUCCCUGCCGUGUUUGCGAUUGCCAUAUAUUCCUUGAACCAUUCACGAGCAUAGGUCGUGGGAAUUUGUUCGACGGGCGUGAGCGUCGCUAGUCCGAUGAACCCGAAGUUGAACUAACUGCGACCACCUUGAACCGUCAGGUUCGGGAUGCCGGCACAGCGGCACAGGCGGGGCUUGA
This 180-nucleotide non-coding RNA is filed under the name Burkholderiaceae bacterium. RNAcentral describes it as "6S RNA". It matches the Rfam family "6S / SsrS RNA". Rfam says of the family: E. coli 6S RNA was the first non coding RNA to be sequenced, but its function was unknown until recently. Lineage: Bacteria; Pseudomonadati; Pseudomonadota; Betaproteobacteria; Burkholderiales; Burkholderiaceae. The record is from RNAcentral.